AAAUGUCAGGUCUAACUAGUGGGAAAAUCCUGCUGUAACUUCACAUACUUGACACUGUUGUUGAAUUUAAAAAAAAAAUCAGGUCAGAAAUCAGGGAUUUUUGUUUAAUGAGAGCAGCAUUUAAAAUGAAAGUGAAUUCCAGACUACUCCUUUUAUUUCCUAAAAUUAAAGUGAAUGAGGAGGAAACUGAAUGAACUGGAUCCUGGACUGUAGCACAUCUCAAAAAACAACAACAAAGAACUACCUACUUGCAGAAGCAUCUCCAACUGAUGUUCUCCGUGUUCCUGCAGUCACUGAUGACAUCAUGACAGCUCUUUAGACAAAUUGAAGCAACAAAUGGGAACGUUGAAAAACACCUAUGUUCAGACUGAGGCUUGUAAACGGUGUCUCCUGACCAUUGAACAACGUCAGGCAGGUCCAGUAGAAACUAAUUGACCUUUGCAGUAGCUCCACGAAAAUUCACAAUGACUGCAGCAAAAGUUCUGCCCACCCGUAUUAGACAUAAUACCUGUUGCUAACGGCAACAGCUCAGUCCACUCUCCUGUCACUAUUUACAUCAUAAAGAUAUAUUACCGAGUCCCUUUACACCUGCAUUAGUAUGUGAAGCCUCUGAGGCUUUAAAGUGGCCUAUAAAGAGAAGCUUAUAUUUCCUACUCCUUCAUACAAAACUUCAAAAUGCCCUUUAAUCAAUACUCUCUAACACAGCCCUUAUGUGACUCCCAUACUUCAUGUGCUCUUCUACAUCUGUAUACAUAAACCCCACUGGAAAACUAGUGACAUGACCCACAUUCAUAAAUGAAUUGCAGCCACCAAGUGACCCAAAUAUUGUGCACCGGUUUCCAAAAUGUUUGCCACAUCUCAGCCAAUGUCUUUAAAUUGACUAUUACUGGGGAGCCCACCCUCGGAGUAACAAAACAUUCCUGACUUUAAGUGAUGGACAAGAACAAUUUGAAACAUGUGGCGUACAUUGUGAUACCAGAAUGAUGUACAUUCUUUGUGGGACGUCUAUUUUAAUACGUAUGUCAGUGUCUGAGAGGACAUGAAAAACAUCUCUCUAUAUAUUGAAUUAAAAGAGAUAUUAAUUGAAAUAAAUGUAUAUAUUAGAUCGGUUUUAAUCAUGACUUGUUUACAUGUCUGUAUGGGUCACAUGUAAUAAAUGGUGCUAAUAAAACGUAGGACGCCAACACGUGAACACCUUGAUCCCUAAUGUAAACGGAUGCAGCCCACACUUCCUGUAAAAGUCCCUGUCAAGUGAAACAACCUCAUCAGGUGAAGUGAAUAUGUUAAUCUGUGUGUUCUGACUGUUAAUGUGAGAUGGGGAAAAAGGUGGAGAUUUUGUAUGUAUCCAAUUAUGUUUUAGAAAAAAAAUCUAGAAGCUUGGCUUUUUGUGCUAACAUGCAUUAACGUCAGUCUUGCAGCCGCAGCUCCAGCUGUGGCGGUGGCUAUGUCUCAGUCAGCAGGAGUCAGCGCCCGGAUCCUGUGUCCUGCACCAACGCGAUGCUCAAACGUCUUUAAUGCACAGCCAGAGGGUGUGCUGCUGAUUCAAAACCUCUCUCCUCUUUCAUUGUAUGAUCACAACAACCAGUGACUACUUGAAAGGACUCUGACCAGAGCAGGAUCGGGAAGUACAGAAAAAAAUGGUCAGAAUCAUCGUGGAUGAGGAGAAGAAGCCUGAAAACCAACCUUAACUACUGUUAUCGUUUGUCAUAGAAAACGGAGGUGUGAUACGCAAUACUGAUGAACAGCUGUUUUUGAUUCAUUUCUGUCUCGUCCAGUGUGUCUUUUUGUCUAUUUGUCACUUAAAAAAAACUUAAACCGGUCUGAGCGCGGCCAACCUGAAAAACAGCGACGAUGCCGUACUCCCACUAAAUAUGUCACCAUGUCAUUGUUAGUCCACUGUGGGAACUUUUCCUUUGUUGCCAUUUGCAAGUAUGCUCUGUGUAAUGUUGUGUUUUAUUUCAACAUGAGUGUCACUAAAGCAGUAAGAACUUUGAAGAGAAAGGUCCUGGAAUAAAAAAAAGCUCGAUUGUGUGUCAA
This is a long non-coding RNA of Cynoglossus semilaevis (tongue sole), 2037 nucleotides long. RefSeq lists it as uncharacterized. Lineage: Eukaryota; Metazoa; Chordata; Actinopteri; Pleuronectiformes; Cynoglossidae. The transcript has 2 exons. The record is from RefSeq and is a predicted model, not a curated record.